GAUGAACGCUGGCGGCGUGCCUAAUACAUGCAAGUCGAGCGAACGGACGAGAAGCUUGCUUCUCUGAUGUUAGCGGCGGACGGGUGAGUAACACGUGGAUAACCUACCUAUAAGACUGGGAUAACUUCGGGAAACCGGAGCUAAUACCGGAUAAUAUUUUGAACCGCAUGGUUCAAAAGUGAAAGACGGUCUUGCUGUCACUUAUAGAUGGAUCCGCGCUGCAUUAGCUAGUUGGUAAGGUAACGGCUUACCAAGGCAACGAUGCAUAGCCGACCUGAGAGGGGGAUCCGCCCCACUGGAACUGAGACACGGUCCAGCCCCCUACGGGAGGCAGCAGGAGGGAAUCUUCCGAAAGGGGCGAAAGCCUGACGGAGCAACGCCGGGGGGGUGAUGAAGGUCUUCGGAUUGUAAAACUCUGUUAUUGGGGAAAAACAUUUGUGAAAGUAACGGUGCCCAUCUUGACGGUACUUAAUCAGAAAGCCACGGCUAACUCCUG
Molecule: ribosomal RNA, 496 nt
Filed under: uncultured bacterium
Lineage: Bacteria
Description: partial 16S ribosomal RNA
Rfam family: Bacterial small subunit ribosomal RNA
Source: RNAcentral